This 459-nucleotide ribosomal RNA is filed under the name uncultured bacterium. RNAcentral's name for it is "partial 16S ribosomal RNA". It matches the Rfam family "Bacterial small subunit ribosomal RNA", at positions 338 to 795 of the family's 1533-position model. The record is from RNAcentral.
CCUACGGGAGGCAGCAGUGAGGAAUAUUGGUCAAUGGACGAGAGUCUGAACCAGCCAAGUAGCGUGAAGGAUGACUGCCCUAUGGGUUGUAAACUUCUUUUAUAUGGGAAUAAAAUGUUCCACGUGUGGGAUUUUGUAUGUACCAUAUGAAUAAGGAUCGGCUAACUCCGUGUCAGCAGCCGCGGUAAUACGGAGGAUCCGAGCGUUAUCCGGAUUUUUGGGUUUAAAGGGAGCGUAGGUGGAUUGUUAAGUCAGUUGUGAAAGUUUGCGGCUCAACCGUAAAAUUGCAGUUGAAACUGGCAGUCUUGAGUACAGUAGAGGUGGGCGGAAUUCGUGGUGUAGCGGUGAAAUGCUUAGAUAUCACGAAGAACUCCGAUUGCGAAGGCAGCUCACUGGACUGCAACUGACACUGAGGCUCGAAAGUGUGGGUAUCAAACAGGAUUAGAUACCCCAGUAGUC